GGAAGUAAAAGUCGUAACAAGGUCUCCGUUGGUGAACCAGCGGAGGGAUCAUUACCGAGUUUACAACUCCCAAACCCCUGUGAACAUACCUAUACGUUGCCUCGGCGGAUCAGCCCGCGCCCCGUAAAACGGGACGGCCCGCCCGAGGACCCCUAAACUCUGUUUUUAGUGGAACUUCUGAGUAAAACAAACAAAUAAAUCAAAACUUUCAACAACGGAUCUCUUGGUUCUGGCAUCGAUGAAGAACGCAGCAAAAUGCGAUAAGUAAUGUGAAUUGCAGAAUUCAGUGAAUCAUCGAAUCUUUGAACGCACACUGCGCCCGCCAGUAUUCUGGCGGGCAUGCCUGUUCGAGCGUCAUUUCAACCCUCAAGCUCAGCUUGGUGUUGGGACUCGCGGUAACCCGCGUUCCCCAAAUCGAUUGGCGGUCACGUCGAGCUUCCAUAGCGUAGUAAUCAUACACCUCGUUACUGGUAAUCGUCGCGGCCACGCCGUUAAACCCCAACUUCUGAAUGUUGACCUCGGAUCAGGUAGGAAUACCCGCUGAACUUAAGCAUAUCAAUAAGCGGAGGA
RNAcentral lists this ribosomal RNA (570 nucleotides) under Hypholoma appendiculatum. RNAcentral describes it as "eukaryotic LSU rRNA". The stretch from base 204 to 357 matches the Rfam family "5.8S ribosomal RNA". The record is from RNAcentral. Lineage: Eukaryota; Fungi; Basidiomycota; Agaricomycetes; Agaricales; Strophariaceae.